AGAGUUUGAUCAUGGCUCAGGAUGAACGCGUGGCGGCGUGCUUAACACAUGCAAGUCGAACGGAGUUUUAACGGAAGUUUCGGAUGGAAGUUAGAACUUAGUGGCGGACGGGUGAGUAACGCGUGGGUAACCUGCCUCAGUACAGGGGGAUAACAGUUAGAAAUGACUGCUAACACCGCAUAAUAUAGCGAAACCGCAUGAUUUUGCUAUCAAAUAUUUAUAGGUAUGAGAUGGGCCCGCGUCUGAUUAGCUAGUUGGUGGGUAAAAGCCUACCAAGGCGACGAUCAGUAGCCGGCUUGAGAGAGUGACCGGCCACAUUGGGACUGAGACACGGCCCAAACUCCUACGGGAGGCAGCAGUGGGGAAUAUUGGACAAUGGGGGAAACCCUGAUCCAGCGAACCGCCGCGUGAGUGAAGAAGUAUUUCGGUAUGUAAAGCUCUAUCAGCAGGGAAGAUAAUGACAGUACCUGACUAAGAAGCCCCGGCUAACUACGUGCCAGCCGCUGC
Molecule: ribosomal RNA, 507 nt
Filed under: uncultured bacterium
Lineage: Bacteria
Description: bacterial SSU rRNA
Rfam family: Bacterial small subunit ribosomal RNA
Source: RNAcentral